GAUGAACGCUGGCGGCGUGCUUAACACAUGCAAGUCGAACGGUGAAGGCGGAGCUUGCUCUGCUGGAUCAGUGGCGAACGGGUGAGUAACACGUGAGCAAUCUGCCCCUGACUCUGGGAUAAGCGCUGGAAACGGCGUCUAAUACUGGAUACGAGCUGCGAAGGCAUCUUCAGCAGCUGGAAAGAACUUCGGUCAGGGAUGAGCUCGCGGCCUAUCAGCUUGUUGGUGAGGUAACGGCUCACCAAGGCGUCGACGGGUAGCCGGCCUGAGAGGGUGACCGGCCACACUGGGACUGAGACACGGCCCAGACUCCUACGGGAGGCAGCAGUGGGGAAUAUUGCACAAUGGGCGGAAGCCUGAUGCAGCAACGCCGCGUGCGGGACGACGGCCUUCGGGUUGUAAACCUCUUUUAGCAGGGAAGAAGCGAAAGUGACGGUACCUGCAGAAAAAGCGCCGGCUAACUACGUG
Molecule: ribosomal RNA, 468 nt
Filed under: uncultured bacterium
Lineage: Bacteria
Description: partial 16S ribosomal RNA
Rfam family: Bacterial small subunit ribosomal RNA
Source: RNAcentral